UGGGGAAUUUUGGACAAUGGGCGAAAGCCUGAUCCAGCAAUGCCGCGUGUGUGAAGAAGGCCUUCGGGUUGUAAAGCACUUUUGUCCGGAAAGAAAUCCUUGGCUCUAAUACAGUCGGGGGAUGACGGUACCGGAAGAAUAAGCACCGGCUAACUACGUGCCAGCAGCCGCGGUAAUACGUAGGGUGCAAGCGUUAAUUGGAAUUACUGGGCGUAAAGCGUGCGCAGGCGGUUUGCUAAGACCGAUGUGAAAUCCCCGGGCUCAACCUGGGAACUGCAUUGGUGACUGGCAGGCUAGAGUAUGGCAGAGGGGGGUAGAAUUCCACGUGUAGCAGUGAAAUGCGUAGAGAUGUGGAGGAAUACCGAUGGCGAAGGCAGCCCCCUGGGCCAAUACUGACGCUCAUGCACGAAAGCGUGGGGAGCAAACAGGAUUAGAUACCCUGGUAGUCCACGCCCUAAACGAUGUCAACUAGUUGUUGGGGAUUCAUUUCCUUAGUAACGUAGCUAACGCGUGAAGUUGACCGCCUGGGGAGUACGGUCGCAAGAUUAAAACUCAAAGGAAUUGACGGGGUCAU
Molecule: ribosomal RNA, 574 nt
Filed under: uncultured bacterium
Lineage: Bacteria
Description: partial 16S ribosomal RNA
Rfam family: Bacterial small subunit ribosomal RNA
Source: RNAcentral